RNAcentral lists this long non-coding RNA (480 nucleotides) under Homo sapiens (human). RNAcentral describes it as "LNC_000153". The record is from RNAcentral. Lineage: Eukaryota; Metazoa; Chordata; Mammalia; Primates; Hominidae.
GUUAGACUGUCAGGCUUGCAAGGAUGCAUUUUAAGAAAUCAGUUUCUUUGAAAGCACUUGAACCAAAAGUCAAAUGGCAUGAUGUAAACCAAUAGUCUUUCAAUGAAGAUAUGAAAACCCUCAAUAAUUACAAAUAAGGAAUCUAACCUAUUGACACCAAUUUGAUUACACUGUAUUGAUUUCUACAAAAAUAUUAUGAGAGAGCAGGCUACUUAUACUCUACUGAUCAGAUUACAAGUAUACUUAGUAAAGACAGAAAUAGUAUAGCCAUAAAAGAGUUUACCUUAAAAUGUCACCUGAUGUUAGUUGUCCCUCACUGAUUCAAGUAAUUUCCUUUAUUGAGGUGGAUCUGCCUGUUGGUGGAGAACCCUAGACUGCAUGCAGCCAUGCACAUGAUCUGGAGACACAGCAGGUCAUCCUCAGCAUUUAUACUCUCUCUCCUUUUGUGCCCCCAUGGACCAAGUUAAGAAGGUGUAGGCU